CCUACGGGAGGCAGCAGUGGGGGAUAUUGCACAAUGGGGGAAACCCUGAUGCAGCGACGCCGCGUGUGGGAAGACGGUCCUCUGGAUUGUAAACCACUGUCCCCAGGGACGACGAUGACGGUACCUGGGGAGGAAGCUCCGGCUAACUACGUGCCAGCAGCCGCGGUAAUACGUAGGGAGCGAGCGUUGUCCGGAAUUACUGGGGGUAAAGGGAGCGUAGGCGGGACUGCAAGUUGGGUGUCAAAUCUACCGGCUCAACCGGUAGCCGCACUCAAAACUGCAGUUCUGGAGUGAAGUAGAGGCAGGCGGAAUUCCUAGUGUAGCGGUGAAAUGCGUAGAUAUUAGGAGGAACACCAGUGGCGAAGGCGGCCUGCUGGGCUUUUACUGACGCUGAGGCUCGAAAGUGUGGGGAGCAAACAGGAUUAGAUACCCCUGUAGUC
This 440-nucleotide ribosomal RNA is filed under the name uncultured bacterium. RNAcentral's name for it is "partial 16S ribosomal RNA". It matches the Rfam family "Bacterial small subunit ribosomal RNA", at positions 338 to 795 of the family's 1533-position model. The record is from RNAcentral.